AAGUCGUAACAAGGUUUCCGUAGGUGAACCUGCGGAAGGAUCAUUACUGCUUGCUCACGGCGCCGUUCGGGAGACCGGGCGGCGUCGGGCAUGCCACCCUUGUCUAUGUAUACCUGUUGUUAUUCCCUCGGCGGGGCAACCCGUCGAUAGGAAGCUCAAAACCCUCUUGCAUUCAGCAUCAACAAUCUGAAAACAAACAAAACUAUCACAACUUUCAACAAUGGAUCUCUUGGUUCUG
RNAcentral lists this unclassified non-coding RNA (238 nucleotides) under fungal sp. Its description in RNAcentral is "partial internal transcribed spacer region". The stretch from base 1 to 46 matches the Rfam family "Eukaryotic small subunit ribosomal RNA", at positions 1786 to 1831 of the family's 1831-position model. Lineage: Eukaryota; Fungi. The record is from RNAcentral.